CUAAAUAGAAUAAGACUAAAUUGUUCUUUAAAAAAAUGAACUCAUUUAGAUAAGAAUAAUGAAUUCGAUAAUAGAAAAAAAUAGAUUCAAAUAGAAUAUAUAGAGAAAUAGGAUAUAAGCGGGUAGCGGGAAUCGAACCCGCAUCGUUAGCUUGGAAGGCUAAGGGUUAUAGUCGACGUUCAUGAAUGAACGUCUCUAAUUCAAAACUGAACGUGAAACUUUUGUUUCAUUCAGCUCCUUUACAGAAUAAUUUAAGAGAUAGAUGGAAUACAUGAAAAAAAAAA
RNAcentral lists this long non-coding RNA (284 nucleotides) under Medicago truncatula (barrel medic). RNAcentral's name for it is "long non-coding RNA (MTRU_LNC005979)". The record is from RNAcentral. Lineage: Eukaryota; Viridiplantae; Streptophyta; Magnoliopsida; Fabales; Fabaceae.